Molecule: ribosomal RNA, 253 nt
Filed under: uncultured bacterium
Lineage: Bacteria
Description: partial 16S ribosomal RNA
Rfam family: Bacterial small subunit ribosomal RNA
Source: RNAcentral
UACGUAGGGGGCAAGCGUUGUCCGGAAUCAUUGGGCGUAAAGAGCGUGUAGGCGGCCCGGUAAGUCCGCUGUGAAAGUCCAGGGCUCAACCCUGGAAUGCCGGUGGAAACUGUCGGGCUAGAGUCCGGAAGAGGCGAGUGGAAUUCCUGGUGUAGCGGUGAAAUGCGCAGAUAUCAGGAGGAACACCCGUGGCGAAAGCGGCUCUCUGGGACGGUACUGACGCUGAGACGCGAAAGCGUGGGGAGCAAACAGG